GAACGCUGGCGGCAGGCCUAACACAUGCAAGUCGAGCGGUAACAGAUCCAGCUUGCUGGAUGCUGACGAGCGGCGGACGGGUGAGUAAUGCAUAGGAAUCUGCCCGAUAGUGGGGGAUAACCUGGGGAAACCCAGGCUAAUACCGCAUACGUCCUACGGGAGAAAGGGGGCUCCGGCUCCCGCUAUGGGAUGAGCCUAUGUCGGAUUAGCUAGUUGGUGAGGUAACGGCUCACCAAGGCCACGAUCCGUAGCUGGUCUGAGAGGAUGAUCAGCCACAUCGGGACUGAGACACGGCCCGAACUCCUACGGGAGGCAGCAGUGGGGAAUAUUGGACAAUGGGGGAAACCCUGAUCCAGCCAUGCCGCGUGUGUGAAGAAGGCCCUCGGGUUGUAAAGCACUUUCAGCGAGGAAGAACGCCUAGCGGUUAAUACCCGCUAGGAAAGACAUCACUCGCAGAAGAAGCACCGGCUAACUCCGUGCCAGCAGCCGCGGUAAUACGGAGGGUGCAAGCGUUAAUCGGAAUUACUGGGCGUAAAGCGCGCGUAGGUGGCUUGAUAAGCCGGUUGUGAAAGCCCCGGGCUCAACCUGGGAACGGCAUCCGGAACUGUCAAGCUAGAGUGCAGGAGAGGAAGGUAGAAUUCCCGGUGUAGCGGUGAAAUGCGUAGAGAUCGGGAGGAAUACCAGUGGCGAAGGCGGCCUUCUGGACUGACACUGACACUGAGGUGCGAAAGCGUGGGUAGCAAACAGGAUCAGAUACCCUGGUAGU
This 766-nucleotide ribosomal RNA is filed under the name uncultured bacterium. RNAcentral describes it as "bacterial SSU rRNA". It matches the Rfam family "Bacterial small subunit ribosomal RNA", at positions 31 to 794 of the family's 1533-position model. The record is from RNAcentral.